UUAUGUUGACAAACAGACAUUUCCCUUGAUUUGUGCCCUUUGUGUACACACAAACGGAGAAUUCGCCUCUGAAAAUGAGUCUUUUUGAAAACGAGCCUUUCUAAAAACUCCAGCCUGAGUGGAGAUUUUUGAAAUCUUCGUUUGCACGUUAGCAUGUAAACUU
Long non-coding RNA from Etheostoma cragini (Arkansas darter), 163 nucleotides. RefSeq lists it as uncharacterized. NCBI's taxonomy places the organism in Eukaryota, Metazoa, Chordata, Actinopteri, Perciformes, Percidae. The transcript is spliced from 3 exons. The record is from RefSeq and is a predicted model, not a curated record.